This 284-nucleotide unclassified non-coding RNA is filed under the name Hevea brasiliensis (rubber tree). The record is from RNAcentral. Lineage: Eukaryota; Viridiplantae; Streptophyta; Magnoliopsida; Malpighiales; Euphorbiaceae.
GCAAGACGUGUCGCCGGUACUGGACUAGAGGGGGCGCCUUGAGAAGCGUGCCGGUAGGAGGAGGAUGCCGGAGGAACAAGAGAAGCAAAAGUAGUAGUAACAACAACAACAAUAAUAGUUCAAAGAGUACAGGUGGAAGUAAUGUCAAUACUAAUAAAACUAUUGCUUCGGGUACUUCAACAAGUGCAAGUCCUUCAAGCUGCAGCACAGAAAUAAUGAAUGGUCGUCAUCACUUCCCUCAUGAACAACCAACGCAGUUAACUCCUCUCAUGGCAGCUUUUCAA